CGUACACUCCUGCGGGAGGCAGCAGUGGGGAAUAUUGCACAAUGGGCGCAAGCCUGAUGCAGCCAUGCCGCGUGUAUGAAGAAGGCCUUCGGGUUGUAAAGUACUUUCAGCGGGGAGGAAGGCGAUAAGGUUAAUAACCUUGUUGAUUGACGUUACCCGCAGAAGAAGCACCGGCUAACUCCGUGCCAGCAGCCGCGGUAAUACGGAGGGUGCAAGCGUUAAUCGGAAUUACUGGGCGUAAAGCGCACGCAGGCGGUCUGUCAAGUCGGAUGUGAAAUCCCCGGGCUCAACCUGGGAACUGCAUUCGAAACUGGCAGGCUAGAGUCUUGUAGAGGGGGGUAGAAUUCCAGGUGUAGCGGUGAAAUGCGUAGAGAUCUGGAGGAAUACCGGUGGCGAAGGCGGCCCCCUGGACAAAGACUGACGCUCAGGUGCGAAAGCGUGGGGAGCAAACAGGAUUAGAUACCCUAGUAGUCCCAUGAU
This 480-nucleotide ribosomal RNA is filed under the name uncultured organism. Its description in RNAcentral is "partial 16S ribosomal RNA". It matches the Rfam family "Bacterial small subunit ribosomal RNA", at positions 330 to 801 of the family's 1533-position model. The record is from RNAcentral.